CCUACGGGGAGCUGCAGUAGGGAAUAUUGCUCAAUGGGGGAAACCCUGAAGCAGCAACGCCGCGUGGAGGAUGAAGGUUUUCGGAUUGUAAACUCCUUUUGUUAGAGAAGAUAAUGACGGUAUCUAACGAAUAAGCACCGGCUAACUCCGUGCCAGCAGCCGCGGUAAUACGGAGGGUGCAAGCGUUACUCGGAAUCACUGGGCGGAAAGAGCGCGUAGGCGGGAUAGCAAGUCAGAUGUGAAAUCCUAUGGCUUAACCAUAGAACUGCAUUUGAAACUGUUAUUCUAGAGUAUGGGAGAGGUAGGUGGAAUUCUUGGUGUAGGGGUAAAAUCCGUAGAGAUCAAGAGGAAUACUCAUUGCGAAGGCGACCUGCUAGAACAUAACUGACGCUGAUGCGCGAAAGCGUGGGGAGCAAACAGGAGUAGAUACCCCUGUAGUC
This 440-nucleotide ribosomal RNA is filed under the name uncultured bacterium. RNAcentral's name for it is "partial 16S ribosomal RNA". It matches the Rfam family "Bacterial small subunit ribosomal RNA", at positions 338 to 795 of the family's 1533-position model. The record is from RNAcentral.